Long non-coding RNA from Hibiscus syriacus, 384 nucleotides. RefSeq lists it as uncharacterized. The record is from RefSeq and is a predicted model, not a curated record. Lineage: Eukaryota; Viridiplantae; Streptophyta; Magnoliopsida; Malvales; Malvaceae. The transcript is spliced from 3 exons.
UUUACGUUCACAAUGCCCAGGUAUCGCUUAUGUGAACCACAGUAGAUGAGAACAUAAAAUUUGCUGGCUACAUAGCUGAUAAACUAAACAAGUCAUCAUCAAAGGUCUGUGUUUGCCUUCCAGAAAAGGGUGUUUCAGCAUUGGAUGCAUCAGAGAAGCCCUUCUAUGAUCCUCAGGCUACCAGUACACUUUUAAAUGAACUAAAGAGACUUAUUAAGAUAAAUGAAGAUCGCCAGGUAAAGAUGUAUCCUUACCAUAUAAAUUACCCUGCGUUUGCGAAUGCCUUGGUCGACUCAUUUAUGGAGAUUUGCUCGAAGAAUACUACAGACUCUAGUCUUCCCCAGGUUGCCUCUCUUGUGUCCAGCCAUGACCUUCAAAAGGAUC